RNAcentral lists this ribosomal RNA (253 nucleotides) under uncultured bacterium. Its description in RNAcentral is "partial 16S ribosomal RNA". It matches the Rfam family "Bacterial small subunit ribosomal RNA", at positions 524 to 776 of the family's 1533-position model. The record is from RNAcentral.
UACGUAGGGACCAAGCGUUGUUCGGAUUUACUGGGCGUAAAGGGCGCGUAGGCGGCAAAUUAAGUCAUCUGUGAAAUCUCCGAGCUUAACUCGGAACGGUCAGGUGAUACUGAUCUGCUAGAGUGCGGAAGGGGCAAUCGGAAUUCCGGGUGUAGCGGUGGAAUGCGUAGAGAUCCGGAAGAACACCGGUGGCGAAGGCGGCCUGCUGGGCAGCUGCUGACACUGAGGCGCGACAGCGUGGGGAGCAAACAGG